CACUGUGAGGUGGAACGAGCCGCCGGGGGCUAAUACCCCUUCGGCCCGACGGUACCACCAGAGGAAGCACCGGCUAACCCUGUGCCAGCAGCCGCGGUAAUACAGGGGGUGCAAGCGUUGUUCGGAAUUAUUGGGCGUAAAGCGCGUGUAGGCGGACCAUUAAGUCUGGUGUGAAAUCCCUCGGCUUAACCGAGGACGUGCAUUGGAUACUGGUGGUCUUGAGUCCUGGAGAGGGUAGCGGAAUUCCCAGUGUAGAGGUGAAAUUCGUAGAUAUUGGGAGGAACACCGGUGGCGAAGGCGGCUACCUGGACAGUGACUGACGCUGAGACGCGAAAGCAUGGGUAGCAAACAGGAUUAGAUACCCUGGUAGUCCAUGCCGUAAACGAUGGGUGCUAGUUGGUGCGGGUAUUGACCCCUGCGCUGACGAAGCUAACGCGUUAAGCACCCGCCUGGGAGUACGGCCGCAAGGCUAAACUCAAAGGAAUUGACGGGG
This 493-nucleotide ribosomal RNA is filed under the name uncultured bacterium. RNAcentral describes it as "bacterial SSU rRNA". It matches the Rfam family "Bacterial small subunit ribosomal RNA", at positions 431 to 918 of the family's 1533-position model. The record is from RNAcentral.